Molecule: antisense RNA, 509 nt
Filed under: Kitasatospora sp. Root187
Lineage: Bacteria; Bacillati; Actinomycetota; Actinomycetes; Kitasatosporales; Streptomycetaceae
Description: Saccharopolyspora sRNA 350
Rfam family: Saccharopolyspora sRNA 350
Source: Rfam by way of RNAcentral
CUGAGGGUGGCCGACCAUUCGGCUCCGGGACGCAGGUGGGCCUCGUCGCCCAGGUGGGCGCCGUCGGUGACCAUGCCCAGCAGUUGGGCCUCGCCGUACUUCCCGGCGACGAUCCGUUCGAGCCGGCCGUGGGCGAUCAGGAAGACCUCCUCGACCGGCUGUCCCUGUUCGGCGAGGAGGUCGCCGGGCCGGAUGUGCCGGGGCUCGAACCGGGCGGCGAUCUCGGCGAGUACGUCCUGGUCGGGGUAGUCGCGCAGGGCGGGGAGCGCGUCCAACGAGGCCGGUACGACCCGGACUUGGUCGGCGCCCUGCUGAACGAAGAGCACCCGCCCGGCACCGGUCCGCAGGGUCAGCCGCCGGUUGACCCGGUAGGUGCCGGCGGCGACGUCCACCCAGGGCAUCGCCCGCAGCAGGUUGCGGGAGGUGAUGCCCUGCAUCUGUGGUUCGGACUUGGUGGUGGUGGCCAGCUGCCUGGCCGCCUGCGUGGACAGGCUCAACUGCGGCGCGGG